UGGUGGAAUUCCCGAGCGGCCAAAGGGGGCAGACUGUAAAUCUGCUGGCAAUGCCUUCGGUGGUUCGAAUCCAUCUCCUCCCACCA
RNAcentral lists this transfer RNA (86 nucleotides) under Firmicutes bacterium ADurb.Bin419. RNAcentral's name for it is "tRNA-Tyr". It matches the Rfam family "tRNA". From Rfam's summary of the family: Transfer RNA (tRNA) molecules are approximately 80 nucleotides in length. Their secondary structure includes four short double-helical elements and three loops (D, anti-codon, and T loops). The record is from RNAcentral. Lineage: Bacteria; Bacillati; Bacillota.